This 283-nucleotide ribosomal RNA is filed under the name uncultured Pseudomonas sp. RNAcentral describes it as "partial 16S ribosomal RNA". It matches the Rfam family "Bacterial small subunit ribosomal RNA", at positions 1101 to 1382 of the family's 1533-position model. Lineage: Bacteria; Pseudomonadati; Pseudomonadota; Gammaproteobacteria; Pseudomonadales; Pseudomonadaceae. The record is from RNAcentral.
AACCCUGUCCUUAGUUACCAGCACGUUAUGUGGGCGACUCUAAGGAGACUGCCGGUGACAAACCGGAGGAAGGUGGGGAGUGACGUCAAGUCAUCAUGGCCCUUACGGCCUGGGCUACACACGUGCUACAAUGGUCGGUACAAAGGGUUGCCAAGCCGCGAGGUGGAGCUAAUCCCAUAAAACCGAUCGUAGUCCGGAUCGCAGUCUGCAACUCGACUGCGUGAAGUCGGAAUCGCUAGUAAUCGUGAAUCAGAAUGUCACGGUGAAUACGUUCCCGGGCCUU